RNAcentral lists this ribosomal RNA (253 nucleotides) under uncultured bacterium. Its description in RNAcentral is "partial 16S ribosomal RNA". It matches the Rfam family "Bacterial small subunit ribosomal RNA", at positions 524 to 776 of the family's 1533-position model. The record is from RNAcentral.
UACGGGGGGGGCAAGCGUUGUUCGGAAUUACUGGGCGUAAAGGGCUCGUAGGCGGCCAACUAAGUCGGAUGUGAAAUCCCCAGGCUCAACCUGGGAACUGCGUCUGAUACUGGAUGGCUUGAAUUCGGGAGAGGGAUGCAGAAUUCCAGGUGUAGCGGUGAAAUGCGUAGAUAUCUGGAGGAACACCGAUUGCGAAGGCAGCUCGCUGGGACGUGACUGACGCUGAGACGCGAAAGCGUGGGGAGCAAACAGG